Molecule: non-coding RNA, 270 nt
Organism: Microtus ochrogaster (prairie vole)
Lineage: Eukaryota; Metazoa; Chordata; Mammalia; Rodentia; Cricetidae
Source: the annotation of a RefSeq genome assembly
AUGACCUCAGUCACUAAUCUCCUGGGGAUGCUGCUGCUCUGGUUUACAGGUGCCAGAUGUGAAAUCCAGAUGACCCAGUCUCCAGCCUCCCUGCCUGUGUCUCUAGGAGACAAUAUAAUCAUCAAAUGCAGGGCAAGUCAAGACAUAUACAAUCAUUUAGCAUGGUAUCAGCAGAAACCAGGGAAAUCCCCCAAACUCCUGAUCUAUGCUGCAAAUAGCUUGGUAAAUGAGGUCCCACCGAGGGUCAGUUGCAGUGGAUCUGGCACAUAG